Molecule: ribosomal RNA, 432 nt
Filed under: uncultured bacterium
Lineage: Bacteria
Description: partial 16S ribosomal RNA
Rfam family: Bacterial small subunit ribosomal RNA
Source: RNAcentral
AACGAACGCUGGCGGCAUGCCUAACACAUGCAAGUCGAACGAAGUCUUCGGACUUAGUGGCGCACGGGUGCGUAACGCGUGGGAAUCUGCCCUUGGGUACGGAAUAACUCAGAGAAAUUUGUGCUAAUACCGUAUAAUGUCUUCGGACCAAAGAUUUAUCGCCCAAGGAUGAGCCCGCGUAAGAUUAGCUAGUUGGUGGGGUAAAAGCCUACCAAGGCGACGAUCUUUAGCUGGUCUGAGAGGAUGAUCAGCCACACUGGGACUGAGACACGGCCCAGACUCCUACGGGAGGCAGCAGUGGGGAAUAUUGGACAAUGGGCGAAAGCCUGAUCCAGCAAUGCCGCGUGAGUGAUGAAGGCCCUAGGGUUGUAAAGCUCUUUUACCAGGGAUGAUAAUGACAGUACCUGAGAAUAAGCUCCGGCUAACUCCGUG